RNAcentral lists this ribosomal RNA (429 nucleotides) under Pseudomonadota bacterium. RNAcentral describes it as "Proteobacteria bacterium partial 16S ribosomal RNA". It matches the Rfam family "Bacterial small subunit ribosomal RNA", at positions 355 to 776 of the family's 1533-position model. The record is from RNAcentral. Lineage: Bacteria; Pseudomonadati; Pseudomonadota.
UGGGGAAUAUUGGACAAUGGGCGAAAGCCUGAUCCAGCCAUGCCGCGUGUGUGAAGAAGGUCUUCGGAUUGUAAAGCACUUUAAGUUGGGAGGAAGGGCAGUAAGCGAAUACCUUGCUGUUUUGACGUUACCGACAGAAUAAGCACCGGCGAACUCUGUGCCAGCAGCCGCGGUAAUACAGAGGGUGCAAGCGUUAAUCGGAAUUACUGGGCGUAAAGCGCGCGUAGGUGGUUCGUUAAGUUGAAUGUGAAAGCCCCGGGCUCAACCUGGGAACUGCAUCCAAAACUGGCGAGCUAGAGUAGGGCAGAGGGUGGUGGAAUUUCCUGUGUAGCGGUGAAAUGCGUAGAUAUAGGAAGGAACACCAGUGGCGAAGGCGACCACCUGGGCUCAUACUGACACUGAGGUGCGAAAGCGUGGGGAGCAAACAGG